CCCAAUCCUAGGUAUAAAUUUUGCACCCCAACACUAAACUCCUUUCUUCUUUCUUCUCCCUUCCCUUUCAGCCGCCACCUCUACCCCGCCGUGCACUGCCGCUAGCCGUCAUCCAAUCACCCCAAGCUUUCACCCCCCCAAUCUCAACCCCCUAUAUUCAUAUCCAAACCCCAAAUCCCUGAAAACACCCACAAUCUCUACCAAAAUAUGAAAAUAACAGUAGCCGCCACCACCUAAAAUACGACGAGAUCUAACCUUCCACACCACGUGCCAUAUAUAAACGGAUCGAUCUCAUUGAGAUUUAUAUUUUCCUACCCAUUUCACCCCGAAAAUUCCCCUCACCAUCGACCCGACCAACCCACUGCCGCCCGAUCUCACCCAAACUCACACCACAAUUAGGUAGUGAGGCGGUCGAAGCAAUACUAAAUUCCAAAGCAGAUCGUGGUCGAUUCCUCAAGGAGUUAGAUAUGGAAUUAGGUAUAAACCUAGAGUAAAUGUAUGAUGUGC
This 507-nucleotide long non-coding RNA is filed under the name Nicotiana benthamiana. RNAcentral's name for it is "long non-coding RNA (NBEN_LNC007112)". The record is from RNAcentral. Lineage: Eukaryota; Viridiplantae; Streptophyta; Magnoliopsida; Solanales; Solanaceae.